This 433-nucleotide ribosomal RNA is filed under the name uncultured actinomycete. RNAcentral describes it as "bacterial SSU rRNA". It matches the Rfam family "Bacterial small subunit ribosomal RNA", at positions 930 to 1497 of the family's 1533-position model. The record is from RNAcentral. Lineage: Bacteria; Bacillati; Actinomycetota; Actinomycetes; Actinomycetales.
CAGCGGAGCAUGUUGUUUAAUUCGACGCGACGCGAAGAACCUUACCAGGGCUUGACAUGCACGGGAAUGUCGUAGAAAUAGCACCCUCGGACAGGUGUGACGAGCGCAACCCCUGCCCUAUGUUGCCAGCGGGAUGUCAAGUAUCAUGCCCCUUAUGUCCUGGCUACAUACAUGGCCGGUACAAGGGCUGCAAACCUGCGAGGGUGAGCGUCCCAAAAAGCCGGUCCCGGUUCGGAUUGGAGUGAAACUCGCCUCCACGAGGGCGGAGUUGCUAGUAAUCGGGAUCAGCAACGCCGCGGUGAAUAUGUUCCCGGGCCUUGUACACACCGCCGUCACACCACGAAAGUCGGCAAUACCCGAAGCCGGUGGCCCAACCCGCAAGGGAGGGAGCCGUCGAAGUAGGGUUGAUGAUUGGGGUGAAGUCGUACAAGGU